Molecule: transfer-messenger RNA, 368 nt
Filed under: Ornithinimicrobium sp.
Lineage: Bacteria; Bacillati; Actinomycetota; Actinomycetes; Micrococcales; Ornithinimicrobiaceae
Also listed under: 1 other name
Rfam family: transfer-messenger RNA
About the family: Bacterial tmRNA, also known as 10Sa RNA or SsrA, is named for its dual tRNA and mRNA-like properties. Its role is to liberate the mRNA from a stalled ribosome.
Source: RNAcentral
GGGGGUGAUCGGUUUCGACGUUGUACGGCCAAUCAGGGGAAGCGGGUCGAGGACGCAAGGUCAUCUCGUCAACGCUCCUUGCAAAACCAAUAGGUGCCGAUUCCAAGCGCACCGACUUCGCCCUCGCCGCCUGAGCGAGUUCGCAAGUCCGUCAGCCUGAGCUAGUUCCCGACUCAGUGCCUGGCGUCAUCUAGGGGACUUGCUGCGCGACCUUGUCGAGGGGUCGCGUGGGACUCUUACUCGACUGGGCCUGUCAGGGAACGUGUGCGUGCGAGCCCUGGGGCCGAGAAAAUCCGUAGCGCACUGCACCCGGAGAAGCCCUGGUUCCCCGGCAGCGGACGCGGGUUCGAUUCCCGCCACCUCCACCA